AUUGAACGCUAGCGGCAGGCUUAACACAUGCAAGUCGAGGGGUAUUGGUUUUCGGACCAAGAGACCGGCGCACGGGUGCGUAACGCGUAUGCAAUCUACCUUUUGCAGAGGGAUAGCCCAGAGAAAUUUGGAUUAAUACCUCAUAGUAUAGUACUUUGGCAUCAAGGAACUAUUAAAGUCACAACGGCAAAAGAUGAGCAUGCGUCCCAUUAGCUAGUUGGUAAGGUAACGGCUUACCAAGGCUACGAUGGGUAGGGGUUCUGAGAGGGAGAUCCCCCACACUGGUACUGAGACACGGACCAGACUCCUACGGGAGGCAGCAGUGAGGAUAUUGGACAAUGGGCGCAAGCCUGAUCCAGCCAUGCCGCGUGCAGGAUGACGGUCCUAUGGAUUGUAAACUGCUUUUAUACAGGAAGAACACU
This 422-nucleotide ribosomal RNA is filed under the name uncultured bacterium. RNAcentral describes it as "bacterial SSU rRNA". It matches the Rfam family "Bacterial small subunit ribosomal RNA", at positions 30 to 453 of the family's 1533-position model. The record is from RNAcentral.